AUCUUCGGGGUAAGGUGAAAUUCCUAACCGGCGGUGAGGUUUCUGAUCGCAGAAACUGCAGCCCGCGACUCGCUUGUGGCUCUAUCGGCCGCGCGCGACUGACUUGGUGCGAUUCCAAGGCCGACGGUAAAGUCCGGAUGGGAGAAGAU
This 149-nucleotide non-coding RNA is filed under the name uncultured Paenibacillus sp. RNAcentral's name for it is "FMN riboswitch (RFN element)". It matches the Rfam family "FMN riboswitch aptamer (RFN element)". From Rfam's summary of the family: The RFN element is a highly conserved domain that is found frequently in the 5'-untranslated regions of prokaryotic mRNAs that encode for flavin mononucleotide (FMN) biosynthesis and transport proteins. This element is a metabolite-dependent riboswitch that directly binds FMN in the absence of proteins. Lineage: Bacteria; Bacillati; Bacillota; Bacilli; Caryophanales; Paenibacillaceae. The record is from RNAcentral.